GAACUCAAAAAAAUAAAUAAAAUCAAAUGUAAAUACCAGCAACAGCACCAGGAGCUGAGUAUAAGCAGAGAGAUUAAAAUUUAAUCAGCGAUUAUCGUAAUUUUAUAACCUAAUUUGAUUGAUUCCCAUCGAAUUGAGAAAGAAAUCUAAGAAGAGAAGAAGGAAGUGUAAAUUUGAGAAUUUGAAAUUAGGGUGAUGAGAGGAGACGACUCAAGAGGAAUCGAGAAUGGAGAUUCAGGAUUCAAAAAUAGAGAACGAAAUUAAGUUCAAUAUGGGGUUCUGUUUCUGUUUCUUUGCCUGUGCUCUUAGAUGAAAAGUAGAAGCAUAUUUGAUCCAAAAAUAAUUUUCGCUCUGCUAAUGUAAUUGAUCAGAUUUAAUCAUUUUUUUUCGUAAUUUUUCAUUACUAAGUUUUGUAUAUGUAAUACACUGAAUAGAAAUUGCAUUUUCGAUAGUAAUUUUGAGUUCUGAUUUGUUGUCUUUGAUUAAUCGACAAAAUGGGGUGAUGGCGGAGAUGACGGUGGUGGGGUGUUGGUAAGGAUCAAAAGUGAUUGACCUUUGAUUAAUGAUGGAGCUGAAGGAAUGAAUGAUGUUGGUGGUGAAAGAACGAAAGUGAGCGUUCUUUAAUGGUUGAUUCAAAUUUUCGCGGCGGUACUGGUGGUAGUAGAGGUGCUGUCGUUAGAGUUGGUGGUGAAGCUGCUAGUGGCUGUGGAGUUGCUGGUGGUGUUGGCGAUGUUGUGGUGUUGGCGGCGGCGGAAUCGUUGUAAUGGUGGCGAUGGUGUUGCUGGAUUUGAAGGAGGCGGUGGAGGACGGUGAUGGAAGAGAAUAAAGUUAGUGGCGCUAGCGGUGGUGGCGAUGGAAGUGAUGGUGUUGGAGGCGGCGGCGGUAACGGUUGUGGUCCGGCGCAGGUGGUGAUGGAGGAGCUGUCGGUGACGGUGACGAUGGGAACUAAACAAACUGAAGAGAAGAGAAAAGAAAGAAAAGAGGAGGGAUAAAUUAGUCAUAGAAAAAAAGCUACGGAAUUCCAAUCUUUUCAUGAAAUUGAAAAAUUUCGUUACUCCUCAUUCCACGAAAAGUGGCCAUAAAAGGGACUCCGUCCGGUCCGUCGGCCCAAUUAUAUGCUUCAUGUGUAGCCUCUUAUCUAAGCAAUGGCCCAAGCAGAUAUAGCGAUGAAAAUAAGUAUGCGGCAGGUCAAAGAGUUUACGAGGCCGGUUCACCUACAAAAGUGUUGAGGAUGUAUGGAUAACCCCUCCCCUUCUCAUCCAUCAUUUUUUCUCAGAUCAGCAUCGGUAUCCAUGGUCGAUUUGAAUGACAAUACCGAUAUGGUUCUAGACCAAGUGGCAUUGGGACACGUCGAGACGGUCCUAGAGAAUUUGAAGGUAGGGAUACGUUGAAGCGAGACAAGAUUGAGGUUACUGCAAUUGUCAGGGGAGUGACUAGACUGGCUGAUCUUAUGAGGGAAGACAACGCCGCAAAAAUGUCCAAGAUAGAUGAAGGCAUAGUAAUGUUUCGUGAAUAUUUGGAUAUUAAAAAGCACAAUGCCGGCAUGAAAAUUACGGAGACUAACUUAGUGGCGUUGCAACCAUUGGAUGGAGCUGCUAUGAAAAAAACUCCAAAAACCCAUUUUGACCCGGCUCGAAAUCCUCACACAUCUAGCUGAAAAAUAUGAAAAUGAAAUUUACUAAUGAAAAUUAGGUGUUGCUAGGUGAUUAUUAAU
Molecule: long non-coding RNA, 1714 nt
Organism: Papaver somniferum (opium poppy)
Lineage: Eukaryota; Viridiplantae; Streptophyta; Magnoliopsida; Ranunculales; Papaveraceae
Exons: 2
Source: RefSeq, a predicted model, not a curated record